GGAAUUUUGUACAGGUGGGUGGAGGGGUUUUGGAGAGGGGUGGAGGGGCUGGGGUUUUGUACGGGGAGGUUGGGGUUAUUUAAAUUAUAGAAACAUACAAGCAUAGAAUGUGACGGCAGAUAAGAACCAUUUGGCCCAUCUAGUCUGCCCAAUUUUCUAAAUACUUUCAUUAGUCCCUGGGUUUUGUACAGGGGGUAGAGGGGCUGGGAUUUUG
Pelobates cultripes (western spadefoot toad) is the source of this 214-nucleotide non-coding RNA. The record is from the annotation of a GenBank genome assembly. NCBI's taxonomy places the organism in Eukaryota, Metazoa, Chordata, Amphibia, Anura, Pelobatidae.